GCCAGACUCCUACGGGAGGCAGCAGUGGGGAAUAUUGGGCAAUGGGCGCAAGCCUGACCCAGCAACGCCGCGUGAAGGAAGAAGGCUUUCGGGUUGUAAACUUCUUUUCUCAGGGACGAAGCAAGUGACGGUACCUGAGGAAUAAGCCACGGCUAACUACGUGCCAGCAGCCGCGGUAAUACGUAGGUGGCAAGCGUUGUCCGGAUUUACUGGGUGUAAAGGGCGUGUAGCCGGGCUGACAAGUCAGAUGUGAAAUUCCGGGGCUCAACCCCGGACCUGCAUUUGAAACUGUUGGUCUUGAGUAUCGGAGAGGCAGGCGGAAUUCCUGGUGUAGCGGUGAAAUGCGUAGAUAUCAGGAGGAACACCGGUGGCGAAGGCGGCCUGCUGGACUGCAACUGACGUUGAGGCCCGAAAGCGUGGGGAGCAAACAGGAUUAGAUACCCCCGUAAA
RNAcentral lists this ribosomal RNA (450 nucleotides) under uncultured bacterium. RNAcentral's name for it is "partial 16S ribosomal RNA". It matches the Rfam family "Bacterial small subunit ribosomal RNA", at positions 330 to 794 of the family's 1533-position model. The record is from RNAcentral.